Molecule: ribosomal RNA, 431 nt
Filed under: uncultured bacterium
Lineage: Bacteria
Description: partial 16S ribosomal RNA
Rfam family: Bacterial small subunit ribosomal RNA
Source: RNAcentral
AACGAACGCUGGCGGCAGGCCUAACACAUGCAAGUCGAGCGCCCCGCAAGGGGAGCGGCGGACGGGUGAGUAACGCGUGGGAAUAUGCCCUUUGCUACGGAAUAGUCUCGGGAAACUGGGGGUAAUACCGUAUACGCCCUUUGGGGGAAAGAUUUAUCGGCGAAGGAUUAGCCCGCGUUGGAUUAGGUAGUUGGUGGGGUAAUGGCCUACCAAGCCGACGAUCCAUAGCUGGUUUGAGAGGAUGAUCAGCCACACUGGGACUGAGACACGGCCCAGACUCCUACGGGAGGCAGCAGUGGGGAAUCUUAGACAAUGGGGGCAACCCUGAUCUAGCCAUGCCGCGUGGGUGAUGAAGGCCUUAGGGUUGUAAAGCUCUUUCAGCUGGGAAGAUAAUGACGGUACCAGCAGAAGAAGCCCCGGCUAACUCCGUG